This 457-nucleotide ribosomal RNA is filed under the name Streptococcus mitis. Its description in RNAcentral is "bacterial SSU rRNA". It matches the Rfam family "Bacterial small subunit ribosomal RNA", at positions 28 to 471 of the family's 1533-position model. Lineage: Bacteria; Bacillati; Bacillota; Bacilli; Lactobacillales; Streptococcaceae. The record is from RNAcentral.
GACGAACGCUGGCGGCGUGCCUAAUACAUGCAAGUAGAACGCUGAAGGAGGAGCUUGCUUCUCCGGAUGAGUUGCGAACGGGUGAGUAACGCGUAGGUAACCUGCCUGGUAGCGGGGGAUAACUAUUGGAAACGAUAGCUAAUACCGCAUAAUAGCAGUUAUUGCAUGAUAACUGUUUGAAAGGUGCAAUUGCACCACUACCAGAUGGACCUGCGUUGUAUUAGCUAGUUGGUGGGGUAACGGCUCACCAAGGCGACGAUACAUAGCCGACCUGAGAGGGUGAUCGGCCACACUGGGACUGAGACACGGCCCAGACUCCUACGGGAGGCAGCAGUAGGGAAUCUUCGGCAAUGGACGGAAGUCUGACCGAGCAACGCCGCGUGAGUGAAGAAGGUUUUCGGAUCGUAAAGCUCUGUUGUAAGAGAAGAACGAGUGUGAGAGUGGAAAGUUCACACUG